Marmota monax (woodchuck) is the source of this 3646-nucleotide long non-coding RNA. RefSeq lists it as uncharacterized. Lineage: Eukaryota; Metazoa; Chordata; Mammalia; Rodentia; Sciuridae. The transcript is spliced from 4 exons. The record is from RefSeq and is a predicted model, not a curated record.
UAAAGUAUGUGAAAUACAGUCCAUGGGCAGACACAGCGUUCUGUCUUCUGGCACCCGGGACACUUCAGAGUAAUUUAUUAUAGGUCAUUCAUAAAUGAAAUGCACCAUUAUAUCUUCCUGUUGCUCCAUUUUAGUGUAGAGAUCUAAGUUAUGGCUGCGAAGAAAUCUUUUUAAUAGAUAAAAAUAGAGAAAGAAAAUAAUGUCACUGCUGCGGAGGAGGCGAAGCUGGUCGGGUUGGCUUGGGCUUGUGUGGGAUAGCGACCUCUGGUGGGAAGUGGGAGGUAAUGCCGCUAAGCAAACUUGGUCUUCUGGGUUUCUGGAAGACUCUGGUGCAGGCAAGAGUAACAGUUCUGGUAAGAAAGAGGAGAGGGGCAAGAGCUGAGGUGGAAGAGAGGUAUGACAGUCAGGCCUGGCUCUGCGUUCCCAGGUGUGUACCUCACUGGCUUGUGAUAGGGGCCUAGGAGAGCCAUUGGGCCACGCUUCCCCUGAGUAGGUGCCAAUUACAGACAGACUUGCAGGGACUACCCGCAGUGGAUUCUGCAGUAAGAACAGAAUCCAGGGAACCUUUUCUGAGACCCAAGCCACAUAACUCCUCUGUUGUUAGAGUUAUGGAUUAUCAUGCACUAGAAUGCCAACUCCACAAGGCAGGGAGUUCUCUCCAUCCUUCACACAUAGAAUACUGCCUGUCAUAGAGUACAAGUUCCAUAAAUAUUUGUGGGAUGAACGAAUGAGUCAUUACCACUAGCUUUUCAUUAGUGGACACUCCUAGGCAUCAGGCUCUGUGCUACAUCCUUUAAGUAUAGUAUUUUUCAUUCUUACCAAGCCCUGUUAGGAGGGUGCACUUUUUCCAUUUAUCUAGAAAUGGAAAGAGGUGCAGUAUAGACCUCCACCCCCACCCUUGUCAGAUAGUUAACAAGAUGCUAAGCCCUAGAUUCCAUUUCAGAUUGUGGUUAUAGUCAGAGUUCUUUCUGUUCUCUGUGGCUCCAGAGUUGAAGUUCAAUUGCUUUGUCUAACUGAGAGAACAUUUGAAACCUGGAGUAGUUAAAUCACUUGUUCACAUUCAUGUGAUAAGGUAGAAAUAGAAAAGAAACCAGGGCAUUUCCCAUUAGAUUGUAAAAUAAAGGCAGAUAUACCUGUUAACUUUGACUUGUAUGCUUAUGUCAGCAUUUAAAGACAUUUUGCAAAGCAUUUAUUAGCCAUUGUCUAUUCUUCAAGCCAUAAGUUAAUAUUUUCUUUAUUUUGUAUUGUCUCCGUUCGCCCUUGCUGCUGUGACAGAAUCCUGUUGAGUAGAACAAUGAGCAUUUAUUUCUCAUAGUCUGAAAGCUGGAGUAGAUACAGAAGCCAAGGGUUGGCUCUCCCAGGAUGCAGCAUGACUUCUUUCCUUUUUUCUUCACUGGCCUGUUGGACCAGAGAUUCAUGAAGACGAGAUUCCCCAUCUGCUUGAUCCAAAAGUCAGAGAAUGAAAGACAGGUCAACUAAUUGGCUAGGGCUCAGCUGGAUGGUUCUUCUGCUGGUCUUACUUUGGAUAACUCAUGUUACCACCAUGAUUUGAAACUGUUGGAGCUGGAUGGUCUAAAUGGUCUCACCCAUAUGUUCUGGAAAUGGAUGCAGGCUGUUGGCUGAACUGCUCAUCUCUAACAGGCUGCAUGACCCACAUCACAGGAGAGGAAUGUUCCAGAACAACGUCUAGGGUACAAGUACUUUGAAGAAAAGUCACUCUUGGGAGAAUCCCUGAAUCCGUCUCCACUGCCGUGGUCUUGGUCAGCCAGAGACAUGGAGUUUCUUCUACUGAUCGCCUCUGGUUAAUUUUCCAUGCAACUUGACAAAAAGGAAUAUGACAAGUUCUAUCUCAGCUCCAAAUCAGGCAAGACAGGGCUGUGUUUGUCCUCGCUGACCCAGGGGACCGAGGAGCCAAUUAAAACUCCUUCUCCUAUUUCAUUCUGUGGUGGUGGAAUCAACACAGAGUUGAAGAGCAGCUCCAGCGCAUGCGGGGUGAAGGCGCUGGGGCUUCCUGGCUGGUGUGGGUUUGGGGGAGACCGCCCAGAUCAGCCCCCUUUAUCACUUUUUAGGUUGUCAAAUGAUGGCACUUCUGUCACACAAAGUGUCCUAAAUGUGCCAGACUCUGGGAAAUCCCCUGGAUUUACUGGCAUAGGAUAGCUGAAGCUUCUUGAAGCCUGUAGACCUUUUUCCCAAGGAAUUCCCAUGACCGGGGCAUUCAGAGGAUCUCUCUUCUUGGUGUUUGUGUAAAGGCAGGUUCAGGUUUUGUGGGGUGUGAAACUUGACUAACUUGAAGAGUCCUUCUUAAGAUGAAAGUUACAUGAUUAUAAACGUAUGAAAAUAAUGUUUAUUUGAAAUAAAAAUAUAUGAAAGAAAACUUUAAAAACUUUAAGUGAAUAAAUCCCACCAAUGUGAAAACACUAGAAAAGAAGCAAUCCUUUUAAAUGAAAUAUGCCUAUAUGGGAAGUUUUUCCCUAUUUUUUUUCCCCCUGCAAAUUCCCUUAUAGCUUCAUUAUGGCAUGAAAUUUUGUGAUGUUUUCUGUAGAAAAAAAAAAGAUAACUCCUUCUUAGAGCAUGAAUGAUUGAAGUUUUUAUUUUUAUUUUUAUAGUUGAGAAAUGUUCUAUUUCACUGCUGCUGUGGGUUGGAUAAGUUUUGCACAAAGGUCUGUGUGUUAAUGGCUUGGUGCCCAGGGUGGCACUGUUGGGAGGUGGUGAAACCAUUAGGAAGUGGAACCUAGUGGGAAGUCCUUAGGUCACUGGGAGCAUGCUCUCAAAGGGGAUCAUGGGAUCAGGGCUUCUUCCUUUAUUUCUCUUUCUUCCUGGCUCAUGAGGUGAGCCAUUUGCUCUAUUACAUAUUCCCCACCAUUACCAUCUGGUAUGCCCACUAAAGUCCCAGAACAAUGGGUCUACCAGAUCUUGCACUGAAACUUUUUAGCACUGUGAGACAAAAUCUACCUUUUUUCCCCUUUAUUAGUUUCUUAUCUCAGGUAUUUCAUUAUAGUGAUGGAAAUCUGACUCACUAUUAUUCAUUGUUGGUAGUUUCACCAGUGUACCUUCAGUAUAACUUUUGAGAUGAUUUUAUUUUGGAGAAACUCUUUCCCAUUUCUUUCAUAUUUGAGCUUUUUAAGAUUUCAGAACAUUUUGGUGAGGGAUGAUGGUGUGCAUGUGCCUUUGCAAGUAUGCACAUGCUCAACAUCUUCUUCUUCAAUGUUUGAAUUGAUGAAUUUGUUAAUCAUUGCAUCUUCAGUUUUAUCCUGUCCCUGCAUGUUGAUGUCAGCCUGGUGAGAGGUGGAACUAUUACUGGAAGUCAUUCCUACUGAAACUGUUGUAAUAAUUUAAUCAGACACAGAAGUGACUAUAGGCUACACAAAUACAUUCUACUAAGUAAACAUGACUCCUAGAGAGUUCUCCUUAGCCAGAUCCCUAGGAUUCCCAUAGCCAUUCCUUUUGUCACCUAAUUCAAGGGGAAAUGUGAUGGAGAAAGAUAAUAAUUUUAACUGAUUUGCAUUCAAAUAACCAGUUUUGCAAACUUUAAAAAAAUAAUACAUGUCCAUGUGACUGUGUCAGGAGGGUCUUCCCCAGGGCUUUGAAAGGGCCCUGUGUAAGCAAGGAGCCCUUCACACAUAUGCCUUAAUAGCGCUAUGUUAAA